GAUGAACGCUGGCGGCGUGCCUAAUACAUGCAAGUCGAGCGAACAGACGAGGAGCUUGCUCCUCUGACGUUAGCGGCGGACGGGUGAGUAACACGUGGAUAACCUACCUAUAAAACUUGGAUAACUUCGGGAAACCGGAGCUAAUACCGGAUAAUAUAUUGAACCGCAUGGUUCAAUAGUGAAAGACGGUUUUGCUGUCACUUAUAGAUGGAUCCGCGCCUCAUUAGCUAGUUGGUAAGGUAACGGCUUACCAAGGCGACGAUGCAUAGCCGUCCUGAGAGUGUGAUCGGCCACACUGGAACUGAGACACGGUCCAGACUCCUACGGGAGGCAGCAGUAGGGAAUCUUCCGCAAUGGGCGAAAGCCUGACGGAGCAACGCCGCGUGAGUGAUGAAGGUCUUCGGAUCGUAAAACUCUGUUAUUAGGGAAGAACAAAUGUGUAAGUAACUAUGCACGUCUUGACGGUACCUAAUCAGAAAGCCACGGCUAACUACGUG
RNAcentral lists this ribosomal RNA (497 nucleotides) under uncultured bacterium. Its description in RNAcentral is "partial 16S ribosomal RNA". It matches the Rfam family "Bacterial small subunit ribosomal RNA", at positions 28 to 507 of the family's 1533-position model. The record is from RNAcentral.